Polypterus senegalus (gray bichir) is the source of this 1288-nucleotide long non-coding RNA. RefSeq lists it as uncharacterized. The transcript has 4 exons. NCBI's taxonomy places the organism in Eukaryota, Metazoa, Chordata, Cladistia, Polypteriformes, Polypteridae. The record is from RefSeq and is a predicted model, not a curated record.
AAACCGCCCAAUGAAAUGCGGCCGAAAAUGACUCGGACACGCCGGAGGAGGAAGAAAAAUGCUGCUUAUUACUGUAUUACUUCCCAGAUGCGAAGUGUCCGAGCACUUGAGCUGCGCGGCCACGCCAUUCAGUCUCUGUCCCGCGUCUCUCUUGUAAACUUUUUCCUUUAAUGAACCCGUCGUUGAGUUCUUAUUUUUUUAUGAAAUCCUUUCACUUUGUCGCACGCACGACCUUACACGUAUGUGAUAUAUUUCACUAUAUUGUCUUGGGAGUUUAAAUGAUGCCCCCACCCCCCACACAUACGGAGACAGACAAACUAGUACAUUUACGUGUGUGAAAUUCUGCGUCCCUAGAGAAUUAACGCACCUAAGUGCGUAUAUUUCAGUAAUAACACGUAGACCGUUAUUUUAUGAGCUUGAACACUAAAACCAGCCGCUAAAUCUGGCUUGUGAUUUGUUUAUGAAAGAGUUAGACUGGGAACACAAAGAAAUUUCGUUUUGGUUAUCCUAUUUUUGAAAUAACAUUAAUGAUAAUGUGAAAUCGACAGUCUCAAAUAUUGCACUCGGACGCAGCGGCUUAUUAUGGGAUCUCAGUGUCGCUUUCGUUUAAGGAUUUCUUUGCAGACCCGGCACAGCUGUUUGAGAACUAGAAGCUUGCGGAAACUCCACGUCUGACUCACAACCCUCCAGUUGUUUCGCACCAGCGCCGCCUCCUGGCCAUUCUACCGAUGUUCACUGCACAAUUCGGAAAGCGCGGGCAAGAGGGCACUAGAAGGAUGGUCCCACAGAUUACAGAAUUCAUAAUCGACAAAGGAUGUGGUCCAAUGAGGUGGCAUAAAGCUGCCUCAAUCUCAGUGACCAGAUGAGUUUGAAGUUGGCAUGUGAAUCAGGGACAACUACAGAACAUGGGAGUGGACAUGUGUUAAAGAAACCUUUGACAAUAUAUACACUAUAACUCCACUGACAUCACUUCUGGUGUCCGUCCAACAGGACCCGCCUCUUCCUGCCAGAAGAUCCACCAUCUUAGUUAGUUUGAUUGGGAACUCCUGUCUGAAAUGACGUCUCUGCAAUUUUUGUGUGUUUUUGUUUAAUUUUGAUCUCUCCAAUUAUACAGGGUGACCUGGCUAGUACCCCAACUCUUUAUCAUUGUCUUGACAUGCUGUUACAUAACGUAAACAGUACCCGUAAUUGAAAGUCAAAGCCAAAAUGACAGUGAAGAAAUAUACUGUAUAUACUCGUGGAUAAGUUGGGACUUGAUUUUACCGUAUAAUUUCUGGUAUUUUAUAAU